RNAcentral lists this unclassified non-coding RNA (420 nucleotides) under Hevea brasiliensis (rubber tree). The record is from RNAcentral. Lineage: Eukaryota; Viridiplantae; Streptophyta; Magnoliopsida; Malpighiales; Euphorbiaceae.
AAAAAAAAAAGAAAAAAAAUAAAACUCAACAAAGCCUUAAUGCCUACUUAGGACUCCAUGAUCUAUUUCCUACCAUUGAGCUUUUGCAAGUAGCUACUGGCAAUUGUUAUUAAAUGAGAAACAGUAGAUAAAAUGUUAGAUGUGUGGAAAUGAAGACAUGAUUGAAAAAUUAAUUGAAAUGUGUGAUUAUAUGAACUAAGACAAGUGAGGGAAAGGUAUACUUGCCAAUUCUAACCAAUUUUGUUCUGAAGCUUCAUUGAGUUUGUUAUAUGCACGAUAACAAUAUGGCUACUCUUAGGAUAUUUUUAACCAAUGGCUAUAAGUUUAUAACAGCUUUUGGCAAUGAUACAAUAUUACAUAACUUGUCUAGAUUACAUUAUAGUUUUCUUAUCCUUGAAGGAAAAAGAAAAAGAAAAGAAA